This 1885-nucleotide unclassified non-coding RNA is filed under the name Hevea brasiliensis (rubber tree). Lineage: Eukaryota; Viridiplantae; Streptophyta; Magnoliopsida; Malpighiales; Euphorbiaceae. The record is from RNAcentral.
CACCAUAAUAUAAUCAUUAUCACAAUUUCUCUGUUCAAUGUUUGAGAUACAAAGCAAAACAAAACAAAGGCAAUUCUCUCCCAUUCUGUAAAUCUAGAUGGGUCACUGUAUACAUUUCAUUUCAAGCAAAUUUCCAAACACUUCAAAAAUAGAUACAUAAGCUUGGAUCAUCAUGUCCAAUGUCAAAGAUCUCCAGGGAAAAAAGAAGAAAUCUUAAGUUCAAAUGAGCACCAGGGAUAGAAUGAAAAUUGAAAUCAAGGCUCCAGAUAUCGUCUGCAGGGUGUUUCUGUGCUCGCCACCAUGGGAAGUGAUUCUCAAAUUUUUGUUGCCUGUCCAGCUGAGGCUUAUAUUUUUAUUCAUAAGAGACCUGGGAAUAGAUCCAUUAAAAUUGUUGCCAGACAAAUUCAAUUCUUUCAGAUUAGGUAGCAAGCCAAGGAAUUCUGGAACAUUUCCAGUCAAAUUAUUGUUCUGUAAAUCUAUAUAUUCAAGAGCAUCCAUUGAGCUGAAAUCUGGGAGUGGCCCAGAAAGUAAAUACCCGCUGAGAUUCAAUGCAAUUACUCGAGGCGAAACAUCAGCACUGCAAUUGAGCCAAUCCCAUGCAUCUUUUUUUGGAAGACAGGGGUCACUCUUCCAUUCCCGUAAUAUACUGAAACCUCCUUGCAAGGCAUCUAGCCCCUCCACAUCUGCACUGGAUGUUCUAGUUAGUGGAUCACUGACAAGAAAAAGUUCCAAGGCGUUGAUGGUCGGAGUGACUGUUGAAUUAUCAUUGCUUGUAGGAACUAAAUAAAACCAAGAUGCAUUUGAAGCAGUAAUGUUUGGAAAGCUUAGUUCAGUAACGUUGUUGUAAUAUGGGACAACAGGUUCAGAGGUAAGCAAGAGAUCAUCCUUAAAUACUAGAAAAGACCGCUUUUGGGGAGGAGAGGCUUCUAUUUCUUUAUCCACUACAGCAAAGUACAUGUUCAUGUAUAUGGGAACUUGAACUGUUGGUAGCCGAACGAAUCUAAAGUUCGUUAGAGGAAACAAAACACCAAGCAAAACAGCUUUUGGAGGUUGAUCACUCGUGUCAACAACAAUAGAAUCAUUUUCUCUUUUUACAAAUAUAUAAUCACCUAAAAUGUUUGGUGGAUUCCAAAUUCGAUCAUACUCGUCAUCCGGAUGCCUGACAGCUGAAAUUAUUCCAAAAGAAAUCCUAUAUUGCAAGAACAAAGCAACAUUUUUAUCAGCACGAGCAGCAUACAUCUCUGUAGCCAAACUCCUCACUUCAAGUGCUGACAUGAAGGGAAACUGGCCAGUUUUCAUCCGCGCUACGCACACACUUAUAGCAUCCCCUUUAACAUAGUAAAUAGCCUCAUGACGAACUUCUUUAUCAAUUUCAGUCUCAACCACAGCCCAGAAGUUGCCAUCAAGUUGCAGCUCAAAAGUAGGGGGUUGGGAUUUAUUAUCAUAGUUUCCAUAAUAGAAGGUAGCGCGAACAAGAACUUUUUCGUCCUCGGUAGCAUUGAUAGAGUAGCAACUCCUUUUUUCUGAAAUGAAUGCUCUCAGUGAGCGCAACUCCCUGUAGCUAUGUUCCACUUGAAAUUCCUGACUCUUGCCGUUUGGCAUGAAAAAAGAGUCAUCUCCAGUCCACUGGACAGAUCUAAAGUCGACGUAGGGAACAGAAGAUCCACAGUCUAUGCUCACAUUCCCUGCAAAUAAUUGAAGAGUUUCAAAGAAAUUGUCAGUAUCCAAAAGCUAGUGAAAGAAGCAAAGAACAAAUAACAAAUAAGAGAUAAAAUUUUAUGCUUGAGUACAGGCUGAACACAAUGUUGACAUGGCAGAAAGGAGUAAGAGCAGCAACAGAGGUAGGUGGCUAGCCAUGGUGAGGCUCAGGCAAGCUCUGAACUUG